RNAcentral lists this ribosomal RNA (497 nucleotides) under uncultured bacterium. RNAcentral's name for it is "partial 16S ribosomal RNA". It matches the Rfam family "Bacterial small subunit ribosomal RNA", at positions 28 to 507 of the family's 1533-position model. The record is from RNAcentral.
GAUGAACGCUGGCGGCGUGCCUAAUACAUGCAAGUCGAGCGAACGGACGAGAAGCUUGCUUCUCUGAUGUUAGCGGCGGACGGGUGAGUAACACGUGGAUAACCUACCUAUAAGACUGGGAUAACUUCGGGAAACCGGAGCUAAUACCGGAUAAUAUUUUGAACCGCAUGGUUCAAAAGUGAAAGACGGUCUUGCUGUCACUUAUAGAUGGAUCCGCGCUGCAUUAGCUAGUUGGUAAGGUAACGGCUUACCAAGGCAACGAUGCAUAGCCGACCUGAGAGGGUGAUUGGCCACACUGGAACUGAGACACCGUCCAGACCCAUACGGGAGGCAGAAGUAAGGAAUCUUCCGAGAUGGGCGAAAGCCUGACGGAGCAACGCGGCGUGAGUUAUGAAGGUCUUCGGAUCGUAAAACUCUGUUAUUAGGGAAGAACAUAUGUGUAAGUAACUGUGCACAUCUUGACGGUACCUAAUCAGAAAGCCACGGCUAACUACGUG